This is a long non-coding RNA of Octopus sinensis (East Asian common octopus), 168 nucleotides long. RefSeq lists it as uncharacterized. The transcript has 4 exons. Lineage: Eukaryota; Metazoa; Mollusca; Cephalopoda; Octopoda; Octopodidae. The record is from RefSeq and is a predicted model, not a curated record.
UGGAAGGACAUCCAGCUGUAAAAAUCUUAUCAAAAUUAACUUUGCCUGUGUUUGCGCCACAUAAAAAGCACUAAGUCCACUCUGCUGAGUGGUUGGUGUUAGGAAGUGCAUCCAGCUGUAAAAAUCCUGCCAAAACAAACCAUAGUCAAAGGUAGUUUUUCAAUCUGG